GACGAACGCUGGCGGCGUGCUUAACACAUGCAAGUCGAACGGAAAGGCCCUGCUUUUGUGGGGUGCUCGAGUGGCGAACGGGUGAGUAACACGUGAGUAACCUGCCCUUGACUUUGGGAUAACUUCAGGAAACUGGGGCUAAUACCGGAUAGGAGCUCCUGCUGCAUGGUGGGGGUUGGAAAGUUUCGGCGGUUGGGGAUGGACUCGCGGCUUAUCAGCUUGUUGGUGGGGUAGUGGCUUACCACGGCUUUGACGGGUAGCCGGCCUGAGAGGGUGACCGGCCACAUUGGGACUGAGAUACGGCCCAGACUCCUACGGGAGGCAGCAGUGGGGAAUAUUGCACAAUGGGCGGAAGCCUGAUGCAGCAACGCCGCGUGCGGGAUGACGGCCUUCGGGUUGUAAACCGCUUUCGCCUGUAACGAAGCGUGAGUGACGGUAAUGGGUAAAGAAGCACCGGCUAACUACGUG
This 468-nucleotide ribosomal RNA is filed under the name uncultured bacterium. RNAcentral describes it as "partial 16S ribosomal RNA". It matches the Rfam family "Bacterial small subunit ribosomal RNA", at positions 28 to 507 of the family's 1533-position model. The record is from RNAcentral.